RNAcentral lists this ribosomal RNA (373 nucleotides) under uncultured bacterium. Its description in RNAcentral is "bacterial SSU rRNA". It matches the Rfam family "Bacterial small subunit ribosomal RNA", at positions 75 to 451 of the family's 1533-position model. The record is from RNAcentral.
CUUGCUCUCUGGGUGACGAGCGGCGGACGCGGUGAGUAAUGUCUGGGAAACUGCCUGAUGGAGGGGGAUAACUACUGGAAACGGUAGCUAAUACCGCAUAACGUCUUCGGACCAAAGUGGGGGACCUUCGGGCCUCACGCCAUCAGAUGUGCCCAGAUGGGAUUAGCUAGUAGGUGGGGUAAUGGCUCACCUAGGCGACGAUCCCUAGCUGGUCUGAGAGGAUGACCAGCCACACUGGAACUGAGACACGGUCCAGACUCCUACGGGAGGCAGCAGUGGGGAAUAUUGCACAAUGGGCGCAAGCCUGAUGCAGCCAUGCCGCGUGUGUGAAGAAGGCCUUCGGGUUGUAAAGCACUUUCAGCGAGGAGGAAGG